Lupinus angustifolius (narrow-leaved blue lupine) is the source of this 124-nucleotide non-coding RNA. The record is from Rfam. NCBI's taxonomy places the organism in Eukaryota, Viridiplantae, Streptophyta, Magnoliopsida, Fabales, Fabaceae.
GGGUGGGAUCAUACCAGCACUAAUGCACCGGAUCUUAUCAGAACUCUGCAGUUAAAUGUGUCUGAACAAAAGCAGAAAUAAUAUUAAGAUGGUAAUCUCCUGAGAAGUCCUCGUGUUGAACCUC